This 301-nucleotide ribosomal RNA is filed under the name uncultured bacterium. RNAcentral describes it as "partial 16S ribosomal RNA". It matches the Rfam family "Bacterial small subunit ribosomal RNA", at positions 509 to 807 of the family's 1533-position model. The record is from RNAcentral.
CAGUAGCCACGGUAAUACGGAGGGGGCUAGCGUUGUUCGGAAUUACUGGGCGUAAAGCGCACGUAGGCGGCUUGGUAAGUUAGAGGUGAAAGCCCGGAGCUCAACUCCGGAAUUGCCUUUAAGACUGCCGAGCUAGUAGGUGAGAGAGGUAAGUGGAAUUCCGAGUGUAGAGGUGAAAUUCGUAGAUAUUCGGAAGAACACCAGUGGCGAAGGCGGCUUACUGGCUCAUUCUAGACGCUGAGGUGCGAAAGCGUGGGGAGCAAACAGGAUUAGAUACCCCCGUAGUCCCUGUCUCUUAUAC